Molecule: long non-coding RNA, 338 nt
Filed under: Arabidopsis lyrata
Lineage: Eukaryota; Viridiplantae; Streptophyta; Magnoliopsida; Brassicales; Brassicaceae
Description: long non-coding RNA (ALYR_LNC001397)
Source: RNAcentral
CCUGGCCCAACGAAGAAGAUCCUGUUCGUCGCCCUUCCUCAAAACCAAAGAGAACGAGCCGAAGAGGAGGUCCUUCGAAAGCAAGGAAGGUUAACAAGACUCCAGGUCGACCUUGAUCUUUCCCUUCUUUCUUUAUUCGUUCGAAGAGUGCGUACAAUUUUUCUUAUAUUCUUCUCUCCCCUUUCUUUUACAUACCAGCUCCUUCAAAGAUUAUGGGGAAAAUGAAUGUCGACGCAGUGGGUGAUUACUCAUCAAGAUACAAGAAGAAAUCGUCGGUGACGCCGUCAAAGAGGAUGAGCCGGGAAGAAGACGAGGCCAUGGCCUUAGGAAAACGUCUU